GGGGAUGCAAGGCAUAGACAGUGGGUCUAAUGUAAAGAUGCAUGUCGAGAAUGGACGUAAUCUCGUUAAAAUUCGUUCAAAUGUUAAUUGCAAAAUUAGCUUCUAAAGUGAAAACAAUUGUUUCUCCUUACUUCGGUUCGGCGGACUUUGCUUUCGCUUCAGUUUCCGCUUCGGCGUAAGCUGAUGUCCUUCUCAUAGACUUCCGAUAUAUGAGAGCUGGGCAUAAUAUUAUCGGGAUAGGAAAAGAGAUGUCCUGACUUUUUUCCAAAACAAAGGGAAUCGAUUAAAAAAUAUUUUGCUCGUUUAAUAAUUUUUUAAUCUAAAACAAAAACGCGCCACACAUGUAGAUUUUUUUGCAAAAACCUUCUGCACGCGGAUUCAAUUUCCGCCAUCUCCACUC
Molecule: transfer-messenger RNA, 400 nt
Filed under: Candidatus Nomurabacteria bacterium RIFCSPHIGHO2_02_FULL_35_13
Lineage: Bacteria; Candidatus Nomuraibacteriota
Also listed under: 1 other name
Rfam family: transfer-messenger RNA
About the family: Bacterial tmRNA, also known as 10Sa RNA or SsrA, is named for its dual tRNA and mRNA-like properties. Its role is to liberate the mRNA from a stalled ribosome. To accomplish this part of the tmRNA is used as a reading frame that ends in a translation stop signal.
Source: RNAcentral